CUACGUGCCAGCAGCCGCGGUAAUACGGAAGGUCCAGGCGUUAUCCGGAUUUAUUGGGUUUAAAGGGAGCGUAGGCGGAUUGUUAAGUCAGCGGUUAAAGGGUGUGGCUCAACCAUGCAUUGCCGUUGAAACUGGCGAUCUUGAGUGCAGACAGGGAUGCCGGAAUUCGUGGUGUAGCGGUGAAAUGCUUAGAUAUCACGAAGAACUCCGAUCGCGAAGGCAGCUUACUAAGGUACAACUGACGCUGAAGCACGAAAGCGUGGGUAUCAAACAGGAUUAGAUACCCUGGUAGUCCACGCAGUAAACGAUGAUAACUGGGCGUAUGCGAUAUACAGUAUGCUCCUAAGCGAAAGCGUUAAGUUAUCCACCUGGGGAGUACGCCGGCAACGGUGAAACUCAAAGGAAUUGACGGGGGCCCGCACAAGCGGUGGAGCAUGUGGUUUAAUUCGACGCAACGCGAGGAACCUUACCAGCGUUUGACA
This 482-nucleotide ribosomal RNA is filed under the name uncultured bacterium. RNAcentral describes it as "bacterial SSU rRNA". It matches the Rfam family "Bacterial small subunit ribosomal RNA", at positions 501 to 986 of the family's 1533-position model. The record is from RNAcentral.